RNAcentral lists this ribosomal RNA (457 nucleotides) under uncultured bacterium. Its description in RNAcentral is "partial 16S ribosomal RNA". It matches the Rfam family "Bacterial small subunit ribosomal RNA", at positions 338 to 795 of the family's 1533-position model. The record is from RNAcentral.
CCUACGGGUGGCAGCAGUGGGGAAUAUUGCACAAUGGGGGAAACCCUGAUGCAGCGACGCCGCGUGAGUGAAGAAGUAUUUCGGUACGUAAAGCUCUAUCAGCAGGGAAGAAAUAAAGUCCUUUGGACUUUGGACGGUACCUGACUAAGAAGCCCCGGCUAACUACGUGCCAGCAGCCGCGGUAAUACGUAGGGGGCAAGCGUUAUCCGGAUUUACUGGGUGUAAAGGGAGCGUAGACGGCAGCGCAAGUCUGGAGUGAAAUCCCAUGGCUUAACCAUGGAACUGCUUUGGAAACUGGCAGUCUCGAGUUGGAGAGAAGUAUGCGGAAUGCGCGGUGUAGCGGUGAAAUGCAUAGAUAUCGCGCAGAACUCCGAUUGCGAAGGCAGCAUGCCGGCUCCACACUGACGCUGAGGCACGAAAGCGUGGGUAUCGAACAGGAUUAGAUACCCUGGUAGUC